UAAAUACACACUCUGAUUAAUGUCAGAAGUUUCUAGAGGAACAUCAGACAUGAAAGUCUGAUCUAGGAAUCCAAACUGCAACUGGGAAGCAAAAACAGUGGGGGAAGUGGAGGAGGGGGCCAGCAGGACCAACUAUUUCAGAGGAACAGUGGGAGGCCUGACACGCUUGCGACAUGGAAAGAAGGCCCGUAUGGUCAGAGCACAAGGAGUGUCGGGAGUUGAGGCUGGAGAGGCAGGCAGAGGGCAGAGCACAGGGGGCCUGGAGGGCCACAGCAAGGUGGUGGGACUUUAUCCGAGGGUAACUGGAGCCUUUGAAGGGUUUUCAAGGCUCCUUCUGGCAGCUUGGUGGAAGAUGCAGUGGAUGUUGGCUAGAGAACACCGGAGAGGCCAGAAGGAAAGCUGCGUCGGUAAUUCAGGUGAGGUCAUGGCGGGUUUUGAGAUGCUGGUGGCAGUGGGAUAGUGAUGUGGGAGCUGACAUCAUAAUUUUGUAACAUGGGGUGCUGAGGUAGACAAAGGAGUUAAAGAUGAUGUUUAGGCUAACUCUUGAGCAAGCUGGAGGGAUGUGUAGCACCUUCCCUAAGGUGCUGGGGGGUGAAGGACCCAGCACGAGGUGUGGCAGUAAGAGGGCAGAGGAAGAGCUCACUCAGUAUGGGCCAUGCAGAACCAAAGAUGCUUUCGAGUCAUUCUGCAGACAGCUCUUAGAAGAAGCUGGCUCUGUGGGCCUGGAGCUCCAGAGAGCUGUCUGGUCGAGAACCACGGGUCUGGGCUCAUCAGCACACGGACGGGAAACAUUUAAAAAGGGAAAAUAUUUGCCAGAUGUCCCACAGCCAGUGGCAGCGUGCAGAACUUAAACAUGCCAUGACCUCAGAUCUUAAUGCACAAAACCCGUUACUACAACAUCUCGGGGAUGCUAAGUCAUUGGAAUGGAGCUGAAGCCACGUGUCUAAAUAAAGCCUUAUUUCAUGGA
Panthera uncia (snow leopard) is the source of this 967-nucleotide long non-coding RNA. RefSeq lists it as uncharacterized. Lineage: Eukaryota; Metazoa; Chordata; Mammalia; Carnivora; Felidae. The transcript is spliced from 2 exons. The record is from RefSeq and is a predicted model, not a curated record.